GACGGACGCUGGCGGCGUGCCUAAUACAUGCAAGUAGAACGCACAGUUUAUACCGUAGCUUGCUACACCAUAAACUGUGAGUUGCGAACGGGUGAGUAACGCGUAGGUAACCUGCCUGGUAGCGGGGGAUAACUAUUGGAAACGAUAGCUAAUACCGCAUAAUAUUAAUUAUUGCAUGAUAAUUGAUUGAAAGAUGCAAUUGCAUCACUACCAGAUGGACCUGCGUUGUAUUAGCUAGUAGGUGAGGUAACGGCUCACCUAGGCGACGAUACAUAGCCGACCUGAGAGGGUGAUCGGCCACACUGGGACUGAGACACGGCCCAGACUCCUACGGGAGGCAGCAGUAGGGAAUCUUCGGCAAUGGACGAAAGUCUGACCGAGCAACGCCGCGUGAGUGAAGAAGGUUUUCGGAUCGUAAAGCUCUGUUGUAAGAGAAGAACGGGUGUGAGAGUGGAAAGUUCACACUGUGACGGUAUCUUACCAGAAAGGGACGGCUAACUACGUG
RNAcentral lists this ribosomal RNA (505 nucleotides) under uncultured bacterium. RNAcentral's name for it is "partial 16S ribosomal RNA". It matches the Rfam family "Bacterial small subunit ribosomal RNA", at positions 28 to 507 of the family's 1533-position model. The record is from RNAcentral.